This 705-nucleotide ribosomal RNA is filed under the name uncultured soil bacterium. Its description in RNAcentral is "bacterial SSU rRNA". It matches the Rfam family "Bacterial small subunit ribosomal RNA", at positions 52 to 749 of the family's 1533-position model. The record is from RNAcentral.
CACAUGCAAGUCGGACGGGAUUGGAGAGCUUGCUUUCCAUGAGAGUGGCGCACGGGUGCGUAACACGUAUGUAACCUACCCAUAUCAGGGGGAUAGCCUCUCGAAAGAGAGAUUAAGACCGCAUAACAUUACGACAUAGCAUUAUGAUGUAAUCAAAUAUUUAUAGGAUAUGGAUGGGCAUGCGGAGCAUUAGCUAGUUGGUGAGGUAACUGCUCACCAAGGCUACGAUGUUUAGGGGAUCUGAGAGGAUGACCCCCCACACUGGAACUGAGACACGGUCCAGACUCCUACGGGAGGCAGCAGUGGGGAAUUUUGGACAAUGGGCGCAAGCCUGAUCCAGCAAUGCCGCGUGAGUGAAGAAGGCCUUCGGGUUGUAAAGCUCUUUUGUCAGGGAAGAAACGGUUGUGGCUAAUAUCCGCAACUAAUGACGGUACCUGAAGAAUAAGCACCGGCUAACUACGUGCCAGCAGCCGCGGUAAUACGUAGGGUGCAAGCGUUAAUCGGAAUUACUGGGCGUAAAGCGUGCGCAGGCGGUUUUGUAAGUCUGUCGUGAAAUCCCCGGGCUCAACCUGGGAAUGGCGAUGGAGACAGCAAGGCUAGAAUCUGGCAGAGGGGGGUAGAAUUCCACGUGUAGCAGUGAAAUGCGUAGAGAUGUGGAGGAACACCGAUGGCGAAGGCAGCCCCCUGGGUCAAGAUUGACGCUCA